ACGAUAACUUUGCAAUUUUUUUCCGGCUUCAUUGGAAUACAUUUUGAUGGGUCUUACGUCUGGUACGAGAAAAGCUGUCGGCACGUUGAUGUAUUCAGUUCAACUUCACACAUCUUAUACUACACAAAGCCCAGCUAAUAUCUAGAAGCCUAUCGUACAAUAUCCAGCUUGGAGCUGAGUCUAAAUAGCUUGGAACGAGCCUAGGCUAAAUAAUUCGGAGCCUAGUCAAAUAGUAUUAAUGGUCAUGACUAUACUCUUCAUAGUCAUGAUUAUAGUCUUAAUAGUCAUUACUAUAGGAAGAUAUAAUAUAAGGAAGAUAAGCAAGAUAAAGACAAGGAAGAUAAGAAGAUAAAGAUAAGGAAGAUAAAGAUCAGAAGAUAAAGAAGAUAAGGAUAAGUAAGAUAAGCAAGAUAAAGACAAGGAAGAUAAGAAGAUAAAGAUAAAGAUAAAGAUAAAGAAGAUAAGGAUAAGCAAGAUAAGCAAGAUAAGCAAGAUAAAGACAAGGAAGAUAAGAAGAUAAAGAUAAGGAGGAUAAAGAUAAGAAAGAUAAAAAGAUAAAGAUAAAGAUAAAGAUAAAGAUAAAGAUAAAGAAGAUAAGCAAGAUAAAGACAAGGAAGAUAAGAAGAUAAAGAUAAGGAAAAGGAAGAUAAGGAUAAGGAAGAUAUGGAAGCUACAGAUAUGGAAGAUAAGGAUAAGGAAGAUCACAAGAUAAAGACAAGGAAGACAAGAAGAUAAGGAAAAGGAAGACAACGAAGAUAAGGAUAAGGAAGAUAAGAAGAAUGGAAAUUUUCAGUAGAAUGUUUAUACAUUUAUUAGACCUGACCAGGAAUGCCCAAAAUUCUGAUAUUUACCCACACCUCCUACAUUGGAAUCACCUUAGUAUUUAUACACAAACUUGUGGUUAGAGCUCUACAACUGUCUCUUUGUGCUCAAUUGGCCAUGUUAGACGCUUAGAGCGCUGCACCGGAAUCACAGGGUUGCAAUCUUAUAUUAAGGAUAUAUGC
Non-coding RNA from Paramuricea clavata, 1004 nucleotides. The record is from the annotation of a GenBank genome assembly. Lineage: Eukaryota; Metazoa; Cnidaria; Anthozoa; Malacalcyonacea; Plexauridae.